GGACUAUUUUCUGUAUCAAUACGCAGUCUGACGGACACGCUGGUACUGUCUUAGAAUUUCGUUAUUUUCACAAGUAUCGGAAAAUGUCUGGCUGGGACGCGUAUUCCGAAAACAUUAAAAGUUGCGGCUUUGUAUGUGGUGGAAUUUAUGACUACGCUGGAAAUCCUUGGACCCAGUUUUGUAGUGAUCCCAGUCUGCAAUUUGAUGGAAAAUAUGUUCCAAAAAUCCUGAAGUUGUUGAAGGAAGGAGCCGGUUGUGGAGAGACAGUGUUUGCCAAUGACCAGAAGCAGCAGGUUAUUAUCUGUGAUGACAGCACCGGGACCUUAGCAGGGAAACAUGGGAACAACUCGUCCCUUGUAGCGAUGCGCUGUAAACAAUGUGUAAUAAUUGGUGUUGGUGGUGAACAAUCUGAACCUAGAGCACUACUUGGCAAAUUAGCAGGCAUUGCUGAAUAUGUUUCCAACAGUGGAUAUUGAUUGUGUUUGCUGUUAGACAGUUUUCAAAUACAACUUACAUCAUGUGUGACUACGCAUAAUUGAAUCAUCACAGACUGCCUGGGAAUCGUUUGACAACAUUGUGAUAAAUAAGGGGAGACAACUGGUCAUCAUUCAUUUGGUUUAACCGAAUACUAAAUUUAUGGCUGUAUAAGUUUUUUUUUGUAUUCUAGUACUUUGUUCUGGACUUGACUGGUCAGAAUGAUUUUCUAGACCAGGUUAUUUGUUAUUCACUCAAUUAUGUUUAUUUAUGUAUUUUCAUAUGGGGUUUUAGCAAAUCGUUUGUAUCUUAUUAACCUGAAAGGUAGCGUUUUACUUGUUUCUGAUUAUUUAACAAUGUGACUAACAAUCAUGAGAUUGAAUGGAGAAUGAGCGAAUAUUUUAAAUUUUGUCAAAACAUCAGAUGAUUGCAACUUAUCUCAUGAAUGUAUGUAUAUUUUUUACUUUUCUAAUAUCCUUUGAUUGUUAGAAUAUUCCGUUGUCAACAUACAACUUAACUUAGACGGUCAGAAUCUCUGUUAAUUGGAUUUAUCAUCGAUUAACAUUAAAUUGGUAUUCAAGUGAAUGAAAAAUACAUUUGAAAAGAGAUACACAAAAACCAUAGCCAUAAAAAUCAAUGUAUUGUAGAUCUGAAGAAAACGUUAUUCUUUCAACUACUGCUUUCAUUAAUUUUUUUUAGUAAGGCACUUUACCAACACACUUAUUUUAAUGUUUCAAAAACAUUUGCUUACUAUUUUCUGUCAGAAGAGCUAUAGCACAAACCACAGGUUGUGAUAUUAUUUUGCAUUUUACUUCAUUGUAUUACGCAAAAAGUGAUACAAGGAGUAUUACUAUGUUUGUUUGCUCCCUUUAAAGUUUGAUUUACCAUAGGAAAUAUUAAACAACAGUUACUUUGCUUCAGACUUGUUUCAACCUGUGAUAAAACCCUUAGUAAUACUAUGAAAAAAAAAGAUAUGUUUUACAUACAGUGUGGUCAUUAUGAGUUAUUUUUCAAGAUACAUUAAGGAAAGUUUUUAACAAUUCACAUGAUUUCUUCUAAACACAUAUUUUACAUGUGCCAUUUCGCCUUUACUAGUCAGACACUUGACCUUUUUUAAAGCUUCAGCAUUAAUUACAUGUUAAAACAGUGUACUUAUUCAACACAUAUAUUAUGUGUGUCAUGUAUUACUAGUCAGACGUUAUACAAUAUUUAACUUAAGCUUCAGCAUUAAUUACAUGUGAAUAUACAUGCAUGUAAUGUUAAAACUUGUUGAAUUUUUAUUACGACAAUAUUUUUGAGGUACGAUAAUUUAUUAGCUGAUGUCAUUAGUCAUUAUAUAUAUUAUUGAAAAAAGUCUUCACAGUAUUCAGUAAAAGUAAAUAUACACUUCUUUUUAGAUACCUAUGUAUUUCCUUUAAAACUGUGUCUUGUGUAAACUAAUUUAAACUGACUUAUGCAGGGUUUUGUAUUGGAUAAGACAUAUUUUAUACCAAUAACCAUUAAUACUUUCAUGGCGCACAAUAUAUUCAGUCACGAACACCCCGUAGGUUUAGUAUUGCUUCUAGGUAAAUAGCUAGAAUAUGAACUUAGGUUGCCUACACAUUUGUGAUAUUUCUAAUUGUUUGUAAUCAUUUCAUUGUAUACAUGCUAUGCUUAUGGUCGACUUGAAAUAACUCUUUUCAUUAUUUUAUUUGAUGUUUGCAUAAAGUGCUAGGUAUUUUGUUAACUGUGAUUGUAUUUAAAGAAAGUGCUGAAUAAUUGAUAAAUUAAUGUGUAUUUGAAAUCCUUGUUUGGAAACACUGAUCAAGUGAAAAUAUUAUUAUUUAUGGGAAAAUGUUAAAUUAACAAUUGGGUUGAAUCGCAUUUUUGGUAAAAAAAAACAUUCUACUUGCGCAUACGUAAUUUUGUAAAAAUGUCCCCUAUAAACCAACAUUUCUUAGUUCUUUCAUAGUGAAAAUUGUCAUUUGCACAGUUUUCAUGGCCAGAUAUGUUGUGUUUGUUUUUUCAUGCAGUUGUGAUUGAACUGUCAGUAUUUUAAAAAUUGUUAGUGGAGAUUAACCCUCUCUUCAUGACCUCCCUGUGACCUUUUGAAAGUCGGGCUUGAUCUUGUUUAGUCAUUGAAAGCCACGCUAGAACAUCAGCUGAUGGCCUGGUCUGGCUGUGGAGUUACCCUGUUUAUUUGUUAGCCUCAUUUUUUCCAUGCAUAUUGUUUUACUCACAACAAAAUGAUUGUCUUUAAUUAUACUAAGAAUUCCAAUUCAAGUUGAAAAAUGACUUAAGAUUUGUUCACGGAAAACUGAGCUUAAUGCAUGUGCACAAAGUGUCGUCCCAUAUUAGCCAGUGCAGUACUCUCAGGCGAAUCAGGGACAUCAAUUUCAGCCUAGACUAGUUUAGAAGAGACUUUUCUUUAAUUGAAAAAUUCCAUAAAAGUGGAAAAUGUCUCGGUUGAUAAGCCUUCUCAUACUGCAAACACUACUCUGGGAUCAAAAUUAAUGCACAUGAAUGAAACCCAGUUAUCCCAGUACUUGGCUGAAAUGAUCACUUGUAUGUUCAAUCUUUUCCAACCACAGGCUAUUUUGAAGCCAAAGAUUAGAUGUUGUUAAACUCCAGUUGAUCACUUCAUUAUAGAAGUGGAAUUUGUGAUGAUAAAAGUUGUUUAUGUUAAAUUGCUAUCUCAAAGGAAAGUUGUUAAGAAAUGUUGAUUUAUUUAAGUCAAGAUGCCUUAUAUCUAUUUGUAUAGGCUUUAAGGACAGAAGAUCUUGUGUCACAAUAUAAACUUUUUAACAAUGGUUUGUACUACACUGUAAAUUUACCAGUUUGAACUCAUUCCAUGUUAAAGUCAAAUAAACUUCAGUAGCAGA
Molecule: long non-coding RNA, 3335 nt
Organism: Dreissena polymorpha
Lineage: Eukaryota; Metazoa; Mollusca; Bivalvia; Myida; Dreissenidae
Exons: 4
Source: RefSeq, a predicted model, not a curated record